GAUGAACGCUGGCGGCGUGCCUAAUACAUGCAAGUCGAGCGAACAGACGCGGAGCUUGCUCCUCUGACGUUAGCGGAGGACGGGUGAGUAACACGUGGAUAACCUACCUAUAAGACUGGGAUAACUUCGGAACACCGGAGCUAAUACCGGAUAAUAUAUUGAACCGCAUGGUUCAUUAGUGAAAGACGGUUUUGCUGUCACUUAUAGAUGCAUCCGCGCUGCAUUAGAUGGUUGGUAAGGUAACGGCUUACCACGGCAACGAUGCGUAGCCGACCUGAGGGGGGGGUAGCCCACACUGGAACUGAGACACCGUCCAGGGGCCUGAGGGAGGCAGCAGUAGGGAAUCGUCCGCAACGGGCGAAAGCCUGGCGGAGCAACGCCGCGUGAGUGAUGAAGGUCUUCGGAUCGUAAUACUCUGUUAUUAGGGAAGAACAAAUGUGUAAGUAACUAUGCACGUCGUGACGGUACCUAAUCAGAAAGCCACGGCUAACUACGUG
This 497-nucleotide ribosomal RNA is filed under the name uncultured bacterium. Its description in RNAcentral is "partial 16S ribosomal RNA". It matches the Rfam family "Bacterial small subunit ribosomal RNA", at positions 28 to 507 of the family's 1533-position model. The record is from RNAcentral.